AUGCUGUGCUUGGCCUCGUCGCCGCCUCCUCCCGCCGGCGGGCAUGCCGCCGCCGACCACCACGCGCGCCUGAGGUCCGCGGCCGCGCGCUCCGACCUGCCGGGCGCGCUCGCCGCCUUCGCCGCCAUGUCCACCUCCGCGUCCGCCAGCCCCGUCCUCCGCACCUUCACUUCCCUCCUCAAGCUCUGCGCGGCGCGCGCCGACCUCGCGACCGGCCGCGCCGUCCACGCGCAGCUCGCCGCGCGGGGGCUCUCCGCGGAGUCCCUCGCCGCCACGGCGCUGGCCAACAUGUACGCCAAGUGCCGCCGGCCGGGCGACGCGCGCAGGGUGUUCGACCGUAUGCCCGUGCGGGACCGCGUCGCCUGGAACGCGCUCGUGGCCGGGUACGCGCGGAACGGGCUCGCCGGGGCCGCCAUGGAGAUGGUCGUCCGGAUGCAGGAGGAGGAGGGGGAGCGGCCCGACUCCGUCACGCUCGUGUCUGUGCUGCCCGCCUGCGCCGACGCCCAGGCGCUCGGGGCCUGCCGCGAGGUGCACGGGUUCGCGGUCCGCGCUGGCUUCGACGAGCUCGUCAAUGUCUCCACGGCGAUCCUUGACGUGUACUGCAAGUGCGGGGCGGUUGAGGUUGCCAGGGCUGUCUUUGAUCGGAUGGCGGAUAAGAACUCUGUUUCUUGGAAUGCCAUGAUCAAGGGGUAUGCUGAGAAUGGGGAUGCUACUGAGGCUCUCGCGCUGUUCAAGAGGAUGGUGGGGGAGGGCGUUGAUGUGACGGAUGUAUCUGUGCUGGCAGCAUUGCACGCCUGUGGUGAGCUUGGGUAUCUUGAUGAGGGGAGACGUGUCCAUGAGCUACUCAUGAGAAUUGGGCUGGAGUCAAAUGUGUCGGUGAUGAAUGCGCUGAUCACCAUGUACUCCAAGUGCAAGAGGACCGACCUCGCUGCCCAGGUUUUCGAUGAGGUGCGCUACAAGACACGGAUCUCCUGGAACGCCAUGAUCCUCGGGUGCACACAGAAUGGAAGGUCAGAAGAUGCAGUCAGGCUCUUCUCUAGGAUGCAGCUGAAAAAUGUGAAGCCUGAUUCGUUCACUCUCGUCAGUGUCAUUCCUGCACUUGCCGACAUCUCAGAUCCACUGCAGGCAAGAUGGAUCCAUGGUUACUCUAUCAGGAUGCACCUAGAUCAGGAUGUGUAUGUUCUGACAGCCCUUAUUGACAUGUACGCAAAAUGCGGCCGUGUCAGUAUAGCUAGAAGUCUCUUCAACUCAGCAAGGGAGAGGCAUGUUAUCACAUGGAAUGCGAUGAUCCAUGGGUACGGCUCACAUGGUUUUGGCAAGGUUGCAGUUGAGCUGUUUGAAGAGAUGAAAAGUUCUGGCAGAGUGCCCAACGAGACGACAUUCCUUUCGGUCCUCUCGGCAUGCAGUCAUGCUGGUUUGGUUGAUGAAGGGCGGAAAUAUUUUUCGAGCAUGAAGGAGGACUAUGGGCUUGAACCUGGGAUGGAGCACUAUGGUACCAUCGUGGAUCUUCUUGGCCGAGCUGGGAAGCUAGAUGAAGCAUGGUCUUUUAUCCAAAAGAUGCCUACGGAUCCUGGCAUUAGUGUUUACGGUGCAAUGUUAGGCGCUUGCAAGUUGCACAAGAAUGUGGAAUUGGCAGAAGAAUCAGCGCAGAGGAUCUUUGAGCUAGGGCCAGAUGAAGGUGUGUAUCAUGUCCUCCUAGCUAACAUUUAUGCAAAUGCUUCAAUGUGGAAGGAUGUUGCAAGGGUUAGAACUGCUAUGGAGAAGAAAGGCCUCCAAAAGACUCCUGGAUGGAGUAUUGUGCAGCUCAAGAAUGAGAUUCAUACCUUCUAUUCUGGAAGCACAAAUCACCAGCAGGCAAAGGACGUUUAUGCAAGGUUGGCUAAGCUAAUAGAAGAGAUCAAAGCUGUGGGGUAUAUGCCGGACACUGAUUCUAUACAUGAUGUAGAAGAUGAUGUCAAGGCACAGUUACUCAACACCCACAGCGAGAAACUUGCCAUUGCAUAUGGACUCAUCCGCACAUCCCCUGGUACAACAAUUCAGAUAAAGAAGAACCUCCGCGUCUGUAACGACUGUCACAAUGCAACCAAGUUAAUAUCUCUGGUGACAGGACGGGAAAUAAUCAUGAGAGAUAUUCAACGAUUUCACCAUUUUAAGGAUGGUAAAUGUUCAUGUGGAGACUACUGGUAG
Molecule: ribosomal RNA, 2187 nt
Filed under: Triticum aestivum (bread wheat)
Lineage: Eukaryota; Viridiplantae; Streptophyta; Magnoliopsida; Poales; Poaceae
Description: partial small subunit ribosomal RNA
Source: RNAcentral